CCUACGGGUGGCAGCAGUGAGGAAUAUUGGUCAAUGGCCGCAGGGCUGAACCAGCCAAGUCGCGUGAGGGAUGACGGUACUAUGGAUUGUACACCUCUUUUGUCAGGGAGCAAAGGGCGCCACGUGUGGCGUUUUGCGAGUACCUGAAGAAAAAGCAUCGGCUAACUCCGUGCCAGCAUUCGAGGUAAUACGGAGGAUGAGAGCGUUACCUGGAUUUUGUGGGUUCAAAGGGUGCGCAGGCGGAAUGUCAAGUCAGUGGUAAAAUUUCGGGGCUCAACCCCGUUCUGCCGUUGAAACUGGCGUUCUUGAGUGAGCGAGAGGUAUGCGGAAUGCGUGGUGUAGCGGUGAAAUGCAUAGAGAUCACGCAGAACUCCGAUUGCGAAGGCAGCAUACCGGCGCUCAACUGACGCUCAUGCACGAAAGCGUGGGUAUCGAACAGGAUUAGAUACCCGAGUAGUC
This 459-nucleotide ribosomal RNA is filed under the name uncultured bacterium. Its description in RNAcentral is "partial 16S ribosomal RNA". It matches the Rfam family "Bacterial small subunit ribosomal RNA", at positions 338 to 795 of the family's 1533-position model. The record is from RNAcentral.